GAUGAAGAACGUAGCAAAAUGCGAUAAGUAAUGUGAAUUGCAGAAUUCAGUGAAUCAUCGAAUCUUUGAACGCACAUUGCGCCCGCUGGUAUUCCGGCGGGCAUGCCUGUUCGAGCGUCAUUUCAACCCUCAAGCCCCCCGGGUUUGGUGUUGGGGAUCGGCUCUGCCUCACGGCGGUGCCGCCCCCGAAAUACAUUGGCGGUCUCGCUGCAGCCUCCAUUGCGUAGUAGCUAACACCUCGCAACUGGAACGCGGCGCGGCCAUGCCGUAAAACCCCGACUUCUGAAUGUUGACCUCGGAUCAGGUAGGAAUACCCGCUGAACUUAAGCAUAUCAAUAAGCGGAGGA
This 347-nucleotide unclassified non-coding RNA is filed under the name soil metagenome. Its description in RNAcentral is "partial contains 5.8S ribosomal RNA, internal transcribed spacer 2, and large subunit ribosomal RNA". The stretch from base 1 to 120 matches the Rfam family "5.8S ribosomal RNA", at positions 35 to 154 of the family's 154-position model. The record is from RNAcentral.